This 463-nucleotide ribosomal RNA is filed under the name Vreelandella stevensii. Its description in RNAcentral is "partial 16S ribosomal RNA". It matches the Rfam family "Bacterial small subunit ribosomal RNA", at positions 338 to 794 of the family's 1533-position model. The record is from RNAcentral. Lineage: Bacteria; Pseudomonadati; Pseudomonadota; Gammaproteobacteria; Oceanospirillales; Halomonadaceae.
CCUACGGCGGCAGCAGUGGGGAAUAUUGGACAAUGGGCGAAAGCCUGAUCCAGCCAUGCCGCGUGUGUGAAGAAGGCCUUCGGGUUGUAAAGCACUUUCAGUGGGGAAGAAAGCCUUGGGGCUAAUACCCUCGAGGAAGGACAUCACCCACAGAAGAAGCACCAGCUAACUCCGUGCCAGCAGCCGCGGUAAUACGGAGGGUGCGAGCGUUAAUCGGAAUUACUGGGCGUAAAGCGCGCGUAGGCGGUCUGAUAAGCCGGUUGUGAAAGCCCCGGGCUCAACCUGGGAACGGCAUCCGGAACUGUCAGGCUAGAGUGCAGGAGAGGAAGGUAGAAUUCCCGGUGUAGCGGUGAAAUGCGUAGAGAUCGGGAGGAAUACCAGUGGCGAAGGCGGCCUUCUGGACUGACACUGACGCUGAGGUGCGAAAGCGUGGGUAGCAAACAGGAUUAGAUACCCGAGUAGU